GCCAUGGCACCACAGCAUCCCCCUCCUUCACAGCCGGCUCCUGGGGGGCUUCACCUCUCGGUACCUGGGCAAGGGCACUGGAACCCCCACCAGGAAGGGCCCUCCCAGGAUCCCUGGGGGUUGAACCACCAAGAAUUCCAACAGCCUCUCUCUCCAGGUUUUCCACAUCUACUUUCUGGAUUGUUUGCCAGCCAGCUUGAGGGAAGGAUGCUUGGCAAGUCCUGUCCGUUCGGGAGAGCCUUCCCGAAAAAGAAGUAAAAGAGGUGGGAACACCCAGGAGCACUAAGGGAAUAUUUAUAUAUUGUUCAUUAAGAUACCUGAGCCCAGACACGGUUUGUGAGCCCCAAGCUGAGCCAGCUGUGGGGGCAGAACAGUGGGAGCCAAGAAAACCCCUCCCCAGCAAGGUCCUGGUGCACAGCUUGCCAAAAUAAUGUCACUUUACGGGCCUUCGAGGUGACUCCAGGAGAAAGUGCUGGCUGUGGAGGUCCCUGCCAGGGCCACUCCUGCUGCCUGUGGCCCCACAGCUGCAGGGUUUUAGGCAGAGGGGGAGAUAAUCAAGCCCUUCAUCAAAACACAAAUUUGGAUGAACAUAAUUAUAAAAUGAAAUUAAUUUCAUAUUUAAAAGUCAGAGGUUUUCUCUUGAAGGAAAUAUUGAAAUGUCUUAGUUCAGUCUGGUUUGGUUUUUUUUUUUCCUUUAGGGGCAAGGGAGGUAAAAUAAAGAAACAAAUACACAAAUAGGUGGAACAUGCCAGGUUUUUGUUGGGGUUUUUUUGUUGUUGGUUUGUUUUUUUUCAAAUCCAGAUUUUGCACCGCUCCUACACUGCAGAUGGAUGUAUUUGGCCAACCCUAACUUCCACAAUAUCCGUUUCUAAGCUGUGGCCAAGCCUCUAAAACAGCACCUACCUGCUGCCUGGUUAAUGCCAGGGAAGCAGCAAACAUGAUGCUCCUGGCCAUUGGGAAAGCAAGAAAAAAGCCUGGAAACACAGAGCUUCCAACCCAGCUCAUCUCCCCAUCGGUGCCCUUUGAGCAUCUUUUGUGUUCUCAGUGUUUGCCGUGUCUGAACACAGCCCCAGCCCCGCUCUGUGCUGCCGCUGCACUUUGUCUGGUUGAUAUUUCUGCAGGGCUGCUUUUCCAUUGUUAUUCACUCCUGGCCAAGAGGCAGAAUGCAUUAAAGCCAUCGGGGUGCCAGUGA
Molecule: long non-coding RNA, 1192 nt
Organism: Pseudopipra pipra
Lineage: Eukaryota; Metazoa; Chordata; Aves; Passeriformes; Pipridae
Exons: 2
Source: RefSeq, a predicted model, not a curated record